UGGAACCCAGGAGUUCAAGACCAUCCUGGGUAAGAUAACAGCACCUCAGAGAAGAUUUGGAAAAUAAAUGAGCUGAUGAGAGCAAUUUUCUGCUUCCUGGGCCACCACAGUCUUCUUUGCUGUUUUUGAUUGCAACCAUUUUCAGAGAAGAAUCAACACCAAAGAUUACAUGUAUAUAAAUUACCUAGUAACGAGCAUGACCUCUGUCCAAGCAGAAGGCAAGCAGGGGAGAAGAUUUAGCUGCUCAACUACAGUUAUUCUCUCAACCCAAGCUAAGGUGGUACAAGGAAGAAUGGCAGAUUGGCAGAUUGGGUGGCCAGGAGGCUUCACAGAGACCCCGUUGAGAAUCCAGUAAAACCUAUGGUUCCUCUUUUAAGAAAAAUACAUGGGCACGCACAAAAAAACCUUAGUGUUUGUUUCCCUGGUCUUUGUUUCCACACAUGCCCUGAAGCCCAGCUGUGAUGCAGGUUAAGAAUCUCUACCCUGGAUUCCAAAGUGAUAGGAAGAACAGGAAAUGAUCUAUGGAACUCAGCACUUUUCUUCCAGGGAUUCCUUCAAGGCUCCGUGAUGUGAUGGGAGCUCUGCUGUAAGUAAAGCACUAAUCAGUGAGGAGAGAGAGUAGUUCAUCUUCCAGAAGUUUGCCCUCCACACCCUUCUCCAGUCAUCAGGGAACAAUACCACCAUGCAGGUAGUUCCUCCAGUCAUUACUAGAAAGAAACAACGAAGAGUAGCUUGUUUCAUCUCUUCCCAGACUAGAAGCGAUGGGAACCAUAUGUUUGCAACCUAUAGGGUUUUGUGGCAGCUGUUCACUCACUGCGGUAAC
Molecule: long non-coding RNA, 823 nt
Filed under: Homo sapiens (human)
Lineage: Eukaryota; Metazoa; Chordata; Mammalia; Primates; Hominidae
Description: HSALNT0347787
Source: RNAcentral